Molecule: unclassified non-coding RNA, 306 nt
Filed under: plant metagenome
Description: partial contains 5.8S ribosomal RNA, internal transcribed spacer 2, and large subunit ribosomal RNA
Rfam family: 5.8S ribosomal RNA (bases 1-105)
Source: RNAcentral
GAAAUGCAAUAAGUAAUGUGAAUUGCAGAAUUCAGUGAAUCAUCGAAUCUUUGAACGCACAUUGCGCCCGCCAGUAUUCUGGCGGGCAUGCCUGUCCGAGCGUCAUUUCAACCAUCAAGCCCCCGGGCUUGUGUUGGGGACCUGCGGCUGCCCGCAGGCCCUGAAAACCAGUGGCGGGCUCGCUGUCACACCGAGCGUAGUAGCAAUCACCUCGCUCAGGGCGUGCUGCGGGUUCCGGCCGUUAAACAGCCUUACAAAACCCAAGGUUGACCUCGGAUCAGGUAGGAAGACCCGCUGAACUUACGC